GAGAUAGCUGGUUCUCCCCGAAAGCUAUUUAGGUAGCGCCUCGUGAAUUCAUCUCCGGGGGUAGAGCACUGUUUCGGCAAGGGGGUCAUCCCGACUUACCAACCCGAUGCAAACUGCGAAUACCGGAGAAUGUUAUCACGGGAGACACACGGCGGGUGCUAACGUCCGUCGUGAAGAGGGAAACAACCCAGACCGCCAGCUAAGGUCCCAAAGUCAUGGUUAAGUGGGAAACGAUGUGGGAAGGCCCAGACAGCCAGGAUGUUGGCUUAGAAGCAGCCAUCAUUUAAAGAAAGCGUAAUAGCUCACUGGUCGAGUCGGCCUGCGCGGAAGAUGUAACGGGGCUAAACCAUGCACCGAAGCUGCGGCAGCGACACUGUGUGUUGUUGGGUAGGGGAGCGU
RNAcentral lists this ribosomal RNA (399 nucleotides) under Escherichia coli. Its description in RNAcentral is "partial 23S ribosomal RNA". It matches the Rfam family "Bacterial large subunit ribosomal RNA", at positions 842 to 1239 of the family's 2925-position model. The record is from RNAcentral. Lineage: Bacteria; Pseudomonadati; Pseudomonadota; Gammaproteobacteria; Enterobacterales; Enterobacteriaceae.